UGGACCAGCCUAUUAGAGGGGCACGAAAUCCGGAUAUAUAUAUGUACCUCAGUCGGAGAGGCGCGUAGGGUAUCUCCUGAGGUAUGGACAGAGUUCACGUCACACCGAACCACCUCGUGAUGAUGAACUCCGCUAACGCCAAGGAAUGGCUAUGUUUUUCAAACCAAAAAUAUGUUUUACGAGUAUACAAAAUUUUAACAGCCUUGGCGGGCUCGAGUGUACGCCUCUGAUCAAGGUGUCAUCGAGUAUAUUUGGU
Molecule: long non-coding RNA, 256 nt
Filed under: Theobroma cacao (cacao)
Lineage: Eukaryota; Viridiplantae; Streptophyta; Magnoliopsida; Malvales; Malvaceae
Description: long non-coding RNA (TCAC_LNC005988)
Source: RNAcentral